GACGAACGCUGGCGGCGUGCCUAAUACAUGCAAGUUGAGCGCUGAAGGUUGGUACUUGUCCCAACUGGAUGAGCAGCGAACGGGUGAGUAACGCGUGGGGAAUCUGCCUUUGAGCGGGGGACAACAUUUGGAAACGAAUGCUAAUACCGCAUAAAAACUUUAAACACAAGUUUUAAGUUUGAAAGAUGCAAUUGCAUCACUCAAAGAUGAUCCCGCGUUGUAUUAGCUAGUUGGUGAGGUAAAGGCUCACCAAGGCGAUGAUACAUAGCCGACCUGAGAGGGGGAUCGGCCACAUUGGGACUGAGACACGGCCCAAACUCCUACGGGAGGCAGCAGGAGGGAAUCUUCGGCAAUGGACGAAAGUCUGACCGAGCAACGCCGCGUGAGUGAAGAAGGGUUUCGGAUCGUAAAACUCUGUUGGUAGAGAAGAACGUUGGUGAGAGUGGAAAGCUCAUCAAGUGACGGUAACUACCCAGAAAGGGACGGCUAACUACGUG
Molecule: ribosomal RNA, 497 nt
Filed under: uncultured bacterium
Lineage: Bacteria
Description: partial 16S ribosomal RNA
Rfam family: Bacterial small subunit ribosomal RNA
Source: RNAcentral